AGAACUGUAUUUGGACAUCAGU
This 22-nucleotide microRNA is filed under the name Limulus polyphemus (Atlantic horseshoe crab). RNAcentral's name for it is "Lpo-Mir-219-P24_3p (mature (co-guide))". The record is from RNAcentral. Lineage: Eukaryota; Metazoa; Arthropoda; Merostomata; Xiphosura; Limulidae.